Molecule: ribosomal RNA, 74 nt
Filed under: Vibrio europaeus
Lineage: Bacteria; Pseudomonadati; Pseudomonadota; Gammaproteobacteria; Vibrionales; Vibrionaceae
Description: partial 16S ribosomal RNA
Rfam family: Bacterial small subunit ribosomal RNA (bases 1-65)
Source: RNAcentral
UCAUGACUGGGGUGAAGUCGUAACAAGGUAGCCCUAGGGGAACCUGGGGCUGGAUCACCUCCUUAUACGAUGAU